RNAcentral lists this ribosomal RNA (253 nucleotides) under uncultured bacterium. RNAcentral describes it as "partial 16S ribosomal RNA". It matches the Rfam family "Bacterial small subunit ribosomal RNA", at positions 524 to 776 of the family's 1533-position model. The record is from RNAcentral.
UACGUAGGGUGCAAGCGUUAUCCGGAAUUAUUGGGCGUAAAGAGCUCGUAGGCGGUUUGUCGCGUCUGCCGUGAAAGUCCGGGGCUCAACUCCGGAUCUGCGGUGGGUACGGGCAGACUAGAGUGAUGUAGGGGAGUCUGGAAUUCCUGGUGUAGCGGUGAAAUGCGCAGAUAUCAGGAGGAACACCGAUGGCGAAGGCAGGUCUCUGGGCAUUAACUGACGCUGAGGAGCGAAAGCAUGGGGAGCGAACAGG